UGGGAUGUAGCUCAGUUGGUAGAGCAGGUAGCUGUUAACUAUCAGGUCGUAGGUUCGAGCCCUACCGUCCCAG
This 73-nucleotide transfer RNA is filed under the name Pseudomonas phage PhiCHU. Its description in RNAcentral is "tRNA-Asn". It matches the Rfam family "tRNA". From Rfam's summary of the family: Transfer RNA (tRNA) molecules are approximately 80 nucleotides in length. Their secondary structure includes four short double-helical elements and three loops (D, anti-codon, and T loops). Lineage: Duplodnaviria; Heunggongvirae; Uroviricota; Caudoviricetes. The record is from RNAcentral.